UUAUUAGUUUAUAUAAAGAUAUUAUAAAAAAAUAUAUUUAUAUAAUUUAUAGAUAAAUUAAUAAUUUUUUAA
This 72-nucleotide transfer RNA is filed under the name Prunus dulcis (almond). Its description in RNAcentral is "tRNA-Arg". The record is from RNAcentral. Lineage: Eukaryota; Viridiplantae; Streptophyta; Magnoliopsida; Rosales; Rosaceae.